Molecule: ribosomal RNA, 253 nt
Filed under: uncultured bacterium
Lineage: Bacteria
Description: partial 16S ribosomal RNA
Rfam family: Bacterial small subunit ribosomal RNA
Source: RNAcentral
GACGUAGGGCGCGAGCGUUGUCCGGAUUUAUUGGGCGUAAAGCGCACGUAGGCGGAUUGCUAAGUCAGGGGUGAAAUCCUGGAGCUCAACUCCAGAACUGCCCUUGAUACUGGCGGUCUCGAGUCCGGGAGAGGUGAGUGGAACUGCGAGUGUAGAGGUGAAAUUCGUAGAUAUUCGCAAGAACACCAGUGGCGAAGGCGGCUCACUGGCCCGGUACUGACGCUGAGGUGCGAAAGCGUGGGGAGCAAACAGG